UUAUCAUAUCCUUCAUUUAUUCUUCUCUCAGAAAUGAAAAAAAGACAAAACAAAACCCAAAACAGACAAAACAAACAAGAAGCAAAGAACAAAAGAAGCUGGAAGAAAGGAUUGAUGAUGAAGUACAGGAAUGGAGAAAUGUGCUAUGAAGCACGGAGAAAAGCAUUCCAGCUAAAUGAAAGGGAAAUACUGAAUGAAAGAUGGGAAUGCAGGGUAAGCAUGAAGAAAUGGUCAGAACUGGAUACCAAGGCAGAGGAAUUGAGCUCCCAGCUGGUGGACAGCCUAUUUCUAAGAAGGGACACCCAACUUGAGAACAAUGGCUGCAAUUUUUGCUCAUCAGCUUCUCAUGAAAGGAAACACAGUCACAGAACCAAGCUAAGGUGCCUCAAAGCAAAGUAGAGAAUUUUCUGGAAUCAGGGAGUUAUGGGUCCUUGGAGCUCAGGAACAAAUGUCAGAAGUCACAUACAAAGGGUUGACUGAGAUCACCCACAAACUAGAAGCACUAUGUCGGAAUACAGGUGUAAUGACAAGGAGUUAAGAAAGAAAAAGAACCUUUCAGACCAUGUGGGGAAGAAUGAAAAAAAAAAAAAUUGUCAUCAAGGUUCAGCGAAGGGUGCAAAGAGAUCCAGCACGAGAACCCAUCAUUAGCAGUGAGGAAAGGAAUCAGCUGAGGCUGUAUUAUCCCAGAAGACAAGGGGAACUCAAGAAAUAGGAGGACAAGUCAUGUGGUGUGGCCACAAGAAUAAACAAAUAAAUAAAAUAAGAAAUUGGAAGAAA
RNAcentral lists this long non-coding RNA (777 nucleotides) under Bos indicus x Bos taurus (hybrid cattle). Its description in RNAcentral is "lncRNA (ENSBIXG00000029350.1)". The record is from RNAcentral. Lineage: Eukaryota; Metazoa; Chordata; Mammalia; Artiodactyla; Bovidae.